AGAGAGAGAGAGAGAGAGAGAGACAGAGAGAGAGAGAGAGAGAGAGAGAGAGAGAGAGAGAGAGAGAGAGAGAGAGAGAGAGAGAGAGAGAGAGAGAGAGAGUUGCAUCCUAACCUUGCUUUCUGUGCAGUGUUGAAAUCUCCAGAGAGAGAGAGAGAGAGAGAGAGAGAGAGAGAGAGAGAGAGAGAGAGAGAGAGAGAGAGAGAGAGAGAGGGAGAGAGAGAGAGAGAGAGAGAGAGAGAGAGAGAGAUUAAAGUUAGCUCACUCUCUCUACGUUGCCAUGGCGGGGGCUUAUGGGGAAUACCUGCCAGACCUUGGUUACCUGUGUGAAGAUUAUUUGAAAAACUUAGACGAACAACAACAACAACAACAACAACAACAACAACAACAACAACAACAACAACAACUACAAGACUUCUCUCACUUAUACACGGAAUAUUGGUCACAAGAGGACAGCGCUGGCCAGUCCUCCUCCUUCGGACUAUCGCUGCGGGACAAUAGUCAAGAUUGGUCAUCUCACUAUUUCUCUCCAAUGAACACGGGAGGAGGAGGAGGAGGAGGAGGAGGAGGAGGAGGAGGAGGAGGAGGAGGAGGAGGAGGAGAAGAAAUACCCUUUUACCUCUUAGACUACCCUUACUCCUCCUUCUCUUCCUUAAAUGAUGGGAGGAGGGAAGACGAAGAGGAAGAGGAGGAAGAGGAGAAGAAGGAGGAGGAGGAGGAGGAGGAGAAGUGAUAAAAAGCUUACAAGAAAUGGAUUUGAAA
Molecule: long non-coding RNA, 762 nt
Organism: Portunus trituberculatus (swimming crab)
Lineage: Eukaryota; Metazoa; Arthropoda; Malacostraca; Decapoda; Portunidae
Exons: 3
Source: RefSeq, a predicted model, not a curated record